Long non-coding RNA from Mirounga angustirostris (Northern elephant seal), 3302 nucleotides. RefSeq lists it as uncharacterized. NCBI's taxonomy places the organism in Eukaryota, Metazoa, Chordata, Mammalia, Carnivora, Phocidae. The transcript is spliced from 2 exons. The record is from RefSeq and is a predicted model, not a curated record.
GAAGCCUGCUUCUCGCUCUCCCACUCCCCCUGCUUGUGUUCCCUCUCUCGCUGUCUCUCUCUCUCAAAUAAAUAAAUAAAUAAAUCUUUAAAAAAAAAGGGGGGGGAUAUUAUCUAAAUGAUCUGGUUAAUCUUCUCUUUCUUUUCUUUUUUCUUUUUUUCAGAUUUUAUUUAUUUGACAGAGAGAGACACAGCGAGAGAGGGAACACAAGCAGGAGGAGUGGGAGAGGAAGAAGCAGACUCCCCGCCGAGCAGGGAGCCUGAUGCGGGGCUCGAUCCCAGGACCCUGGGAUCAUGACCUGAGCCGAAGGCAGACGCUCAACGACUGAGCCACCCAGGCGCCCCUUCUUUUCUCUUUUUAAAAAAAUUUUUUAAUCCUUUUUUUUUUGGUCAGAGAGAGUGCGAGCACAAGCAGGGGGAGCGGCAGGCAGAGGGAGAAGCAGGCUCCUUGGGAGCCCAACGUGGGAUUUGAUCCCAGGACCCUGGGAUCGUGAGCUGAGCUGAAGGCCGAUGUUUAACCGACUGAACCACCCAGGCGUCCCUCUUUUUUUAAAAAAAAUAGGCUCCACGCCUAGGGUGGAACUCAUAACCCUCAGAUCAAGACCUGAGCUGAGAUUAAGAGUUGGACAAUUAACUGACCAAGUCACCCAGGAGCCCAGACCUGGUUAAUCUUUUUAAAGGAUUGUGGUGAGCCACCUAGGCCACGUAGUUCCUGCAGUGACCAGGUGUCCUAUUUUGUUUUGAACCUGGGUUCCUCCUCAUUUGCUGUGGAUUUCAGACCAGACGGUAUCCUUCUGGAAAUUCUAGUUGGUAAGUCAACAGGUUGAUUUAUGUGCAAAAAAUAAAUAAAUAAAAUAAACAAAAAAAUAAACCCAAAACAAACAAAACAGAAAACAGAAAAGAAGUCCAUUUCAGUUGUCACGUGUAUUACAUCCCUUAUCUUCACGGCAGCUCUGACAGGUGCUGCGACAGAGGCCCCCAGUAAGCCUUGGUCCUUAAUAAACCACCCUCUGGGUGUUCAGCUGGCCUUGGCCACAUGGACUCCAGACCACAUUCCCAAGCUUCCGUCGAAGGUGCUCUGGCCAGGGAGAUCUACAGAGAGGUACUGUGUGCAACUUCCCUUACCGGGAAGGAGCAUCUUCUCUUUGUUCUUCACUGGCUGGAAUGUCAUCUGGAAGAGAAUGGCAGCCAUCUUGGGCCACCUGGUGCGCUCAGACACCGCAGAGCUGACGAGGCUGGAGCUGGACAGCAGGGCCACGGGUUGGCCAUCUCCCAGAAAAAGAAACUCCCAUCUCCUCGAAGCCACGGUGAGAGGCGGUUUCUCUGACAUACACUCAGCAAAUCCUGAGAAGUGCAAGUGGGCAGCAUGAACUCCCAUUCUCCAGGUAAAGAAAGUGGAAUGCAAAGAGGCCAAGUGGGCUCCUCGGGCUGGUAGUAGCUGGAUCUGCAGCGGAGGACCCUCCCCCCCAAACAAAUCGGGGAGAAAAAGUACGUGGGCAAUUCUGUUCUUUAGGCUUUGGAUGUAUUCCCCCAGAUUGUUGAAUCUCCAUUUUAUUUUUUUCCCCAAUUGUUUACUAAUUGAUGUCAAGAAACGGGGAUUGGAGCAGGGCAGGACUGAAGUGGACACAGGCCACUCCGCCAAAGGACUUAAGAGACCUAGAAACUCUGGAUGAAUGCCCUUUGCUCAUAAACAUAAGAACCACCCAUCGUUUUGAAACCCCAAGUGCAAACAGAGUUGAUUCUACUUCCCUCCUUCCUCAAACACACCCCAAAGGCCUUGGGCAAAAAGAGGGAGCCACUGUUUUUUCUGUUCUUAAACAAAGUGGCAGACAUUCCAUCUAACCCUGAAAAAAACACUAGAGAUGUGCUUUGGGGACAAGUUGUGGUUUUCGUUUGUUAUCAUUAUUUUUUUUAAUUUGGGUGGGAAGCGUAAGGAGUUGGAAAAGAGCCAGCAGUCCCUAUGGCUCCUAACUCAAAGAACUAAAGUCCGAGAGUCCUCCCCUCAUCUGCAGUCACCCACGGUGAAGCAGAGGAACCUCCUUCUGACAUUUGGUCAGACGAUCAAUAGUAGCCUAAUGCUGCAUCUCAUGCCAACGUCAUUCACUCGUUUCACCUCAUCAUGUAGGCAUUUAUAUUGUCUCAUGUCCUCACAGAACGGUGAGUAUUAAGAGAAUAAGAUAUUUUGAGAGACAGCACAUUCACCUAAUUUUUAUUAUAGUAUAUUGUUAUAAUUAUUCUGUUAUUAUUGUUGUUAAUCUCUUAGGUGCCUAAUUGUAAAUUAAACUUUCUCAUCAGUAUGUAUGGAUAGGAAAAAGCUUUGUAUAUAUGGGCUUUGGUACCAGCUGUGGUUUUAGGCACCCACCGGGGCUCUUGGAACGUAUCCCCCAUGGAUAAGGAGAGACUACUGUCAAUAUUUAGUGAGGCCUUCAGCUACUUGGGUUGGGCAUCGGAAAACAUAUAAAUCAGCCAGGUGGGAGCCAUGAACUAGAGACAAAGCCCCACCUCGAAGGUGCCGUCAGAGAGUUGGCACUUGAGAAUUCAGGCCCGCAUCUGCUGUCAGGAACCGAGGGUUUGUUUUUUGUUUUUUUUGUUGUUUCUUUGUUUUUGUUUUUGUUUUUAAGAAUUCUCUUGACCUUUUGUUGUUGGCAACUAAUGUGUUCACGGUUUUAUCCCCAGUCACCAAAUUUAGUUUAUGAAUCAUAAGUAGAGCAACACUAGCUUAAGCCAUAGGAGAGUUUUCUUUUAAACUCUGUAUUGAAGUAUACCUCCUUAUAAUUCCUUAUGUGCAUUAUUUGGUGACACCUGGAACGUAAGAGGUGCCUGGAACGUAAGAGGUGCUCAGUGGAAUGACCAAAUGAGUGAAUUAUAAAUAAUGCACAUAACGGCCCAAUUAGCAAAUGGGUGAAGCACUUGAAUAGACAUUUUUCCAAAGAAGAUAUAUGGUCACCAAGCACAUGAAAUGCAAAUGAAAGCCACGGUGAGCUACCAUAUUGCACCCACUCGGAAGGCUAGAAUCAAAAAAACCAAAAUAACAGGUGCUGGUGAGCAUGUGGAGAAAUUGGAACCCUUGGGCAUUGCUGGUGGGAAUGUAAAAUGGCAGCCAAUGUGGAAACCAGCUUGGUGCUUCUCCAAAAAGUUAAACAUAGAGUUACCAUAUGACCCAGCAAUUCUGCUCCUAGGUGUCAACCCCCCAAAAUUGAAAACAGGUGCUCAAAUGCAGACUUGUACAUAUAUGUUCAUAGCAGUACUAUUCACAAAAUAGCCCAAGAUGAAAACAACCCAAUGGUUCCAGCAACGGAUGAA